This 1899-nucleotide long non-coding RNA is filed under the name Homo sapiens (human). RNAcentral describes it as "non-protein coding LINC02248:13". The record is from RNAcentral. Lineage: Eukaryota; Metazoa; Chordata; Mammalia; Primates; Hominidae.
AUUUUGAAGGGAUAAAAUUCAAGCCAUAAAAAUCAGCAACUUCAUAUAUAUAUUUCCCUAACUUACUUUGUUUUAUUUUCCAGGUCAUUGACUAACAACAUCAACAAUGAAAUGAAUCUGAGAAAACAGGAAAUUGAGAGCAAGAGAAAAAAAAGUUAAUUAUACUGAUUUUGUAUAAGACCCCUUUGAACACAUUUUUAAAAAAUCAAAUAGAAGGUGCCCAGGUCCACUGUGCCUUGUGAAUAUUUGUCUUGUAUAUCCUAGAGAUCUACGCAUUCAUGUGGGAAUUGAAAAGGACCCACAUUUUACUAGAAGCAUCGUUCAUUUUUGCCUCAAAACAAUGCCCACAUGUCAGAAGAACUUUCACAAUUCACAGGAACAGUGACCUAAUUAACCAACCAUAAAAUUGCCAAAUCCCUACUUCUCAUUGUUUAAUAUGCUUAGAAAACCCAUUCAAAUUGUGAAUUAUCAAGUGAGCUUACACUGAUAAAUAGAUCCAAUAUUUAGGAAUUUUUAAAUCUUCCAUUCCUUUUUUUUUUUUGUCUUUUUAAAAAUAGAACAUUAGAAUAUGUCCUCCAGGUUUUAGAGAUGGGGGAGACAUGCUUCCCUUUAUUUCUCAGUAACUCAGCCAAAAAAAAUCUGGAGAGAAUGCAAAGACAGCUACUGGAAACUUUGAAAAGUAGAUGUGAGCCCAUCAGGGAAGAGCUAGAGAAUCUGAAAUCUACUCGAAAAAGUGAGUUUGAUACUUUGUGUUCCUAUCCUAACUCCACACAGCCUGAAACUUGGAAGUGAGCAUGAUGGAGUGGAUACAGUGAGAUGCAGAAGAAAUCCUCCAGUUUGGGCUGGAAGGGAAAAAAGAGACCCCUAAAACUCAGAGACAGUGGAAGAAAUUCCUGGUGUUUUUUUCUUCUCUUUUUCUCUGUUCUUCCACAUAGCAAUUUAGUAUUGACUACAGCAUCUCUGUUACAAUGAUAGCACCGAAAUGUUGUAACCAUAUGGCCUGCAAAGCCAAAAAUACUUAUCUGACCAUCUACAGGAAAAGUUUGCUGAUCUGGAUGAAAUAUUCUGAUACUAAAUAUUCCAUUUUGAGGCUGAUAUUCCUAAUCUAUUCAUAAGGAUGGCAUAUCUACCCAGUGGGCCUGCUGGGACUCCAGUUACCCGAUGCACAUACAUUGCUUGGUGUGGCAGUUUCGUGUGCAUUUUUGGUGAUGAUGCUCCACGGAACAUCUGCAGAUGUGCUGUCAAUUUGGACAGCUCUGACUACCGAGUGAAUGGGAAGUACUAACGAGAACUGUCUGCUUGGGAACUCCAUGAAGUUCGUGGCUUUUGUGAUUGAAAUAGCAUCAAUAAAAGGUUGACACUGUGGAACAACACAAGCCUGCAUGGACCUGGUUAUCUCUGACCUCGCACCACUCAUGAGACCAUACCUGAGCCCUACUCCACUUUGGCAGAACUGUUGCAUGGCCUCUCUUCAUAUAAUACCUCUCCGUACACCGUACACCGCAGCUCAAAGAAAGGAUAUAUGCUCCCUGUGAAGACUAAUGGAACUGUCCCUCCUGAUCCUCCUACAGACUUCCUCUGGCCUAAUGGGUGCACCAUUGCAUUAUAUCUGCCAUCUAUACACACAUAUACCUUUCAACCCUGCACUCUCUGAGAUGACUGGACUCAUGCCUAAAUAACUGAUGCUGUCCCUAGUGUAAGGAAGCUGCCUGACGAGGAGCUGUACGGAAAUAAGAGUAAUUCAGUGAUGGGGUCCAAGCAUCCUGAAUAUAAGCGGUCCAUGUCAAGAAAGAGCCAAAGGGCGUCCUCAGGACAUGGAAGAGGGGCAUUCCAGGCUGGCAGCUGGGGAGGCCCAGAGAGCCCUGGAGAAGAUCUGAAGUCCAUUGCAGAGCUUUCUUU